RNAcentral lists this long non-coding RNA (298 nucleotides) under Cucumis sativus (cucumber). Its description in RNAcentral is "long non-coding RNA (CSAT_LNC002961)". The record is from RNAcentral. Lineage: Eukaryota; Viridiplantae; Streptophyta; Magnoliopsida; Cucurbitales; Cucurbitaceae.
AUUUUUACCUAUUAUUCUCCAUCACUGGAAGCUUUUAGAUAUUCAAUCAUAAAAUUCGAACUUCUUAUUACAUUGUGUUUCUUAAUUUGUAUUCAAAUUUCUCAUAACCGUAAGCUGCAUAAUCUUAACAAGUCGCCGGCAUAUACAAUUCUUCAUGAUCUGAAGCUACGAUAAAGUCCACAGUAAGUCAUUUGUUCUUUUACCCAUUUAAAAUUAAAUAGUUAAACAACAAAACUAUUGAUUAGUUCAUUCUGACUAUAUCAUUUGCGUAUAUAUUGUAUAUAUUAACAAUAUACCC